CGCUUGCGCCCCGAGCCCUGGGUGCCCAUGUCCACCGGCCGCGUCGCCCGCCGCGCCGCGGGACCCACGCCCCUCUCGGGUAAGGGCCCGAGUAACUGCUAGCUGUCUGUACUGAAUUAGGGAAGAAGAAAUGUGCCGGCGGAAGCACAGUAACCAAUAGGUACUGGUAUUUUGGGGGUGACAUGGUCCUGGUUGGAGGACCAUCUCUUGCUCUGCCCUCAGCCCUGCUGGAGGCUCGCUGCUCCCUUAGCCCGUGAUGCUGGGUGAAGACUCGUCUUUGCUCAGGCUUGUUCCCAUGGCUUCACUCAUUCAUUCCCCCACACCUGCUUCCUGGCAGGUGCUGCGCCGGAAGCCGGGGCAGAACUGCAAAGGACACAGACAGAGCCGCUGUUCUCUCAGGACUUACCUGAGAUACCUGGAACUCCUCUUCCAAAGCCACAUCCAAGCUCCAACAUCUCCUUUCUUUUUUGAUUGACAUAUAUACACUAAUAUGUAUAAAAUAGAUAACCAAUAAGAA
Molecule: non-coding RNA, 517 nt
Organism: Kogia breviceps (pygmy sperm whale)
Lineage: Eukaryota; Metazoa; Chordata; Mammalia; Artiodactyla; Physeteridae
Source: RefSeq, a predicted model, not a curated record